GCCUGCUCUUCCCCCUCAGACUCCUCCAUUUUCCAGUGGGCCCCUCCAGCAGCACAGCCCCCGCAGUCACUGCUCCCGCCCCACGCUUGACAAGAAGGCAGCCUCAUCCCUGACCCCCUGAGAGGCUACAGUCAGGGGCAACAGCAGGGGAGGAGGCGCAGGCAGCACCGCCCUGACACCCACCAUAUGGGAGGCGAGGAAGAUUUCUGGACCUGAGAGGGGCCCUAGAAGCACAUGCGUUGACAGUGGUGGGGAGCAGGUUGUCUCUAAUCCUAUGAACCAUUAAUCAACCAUGCUUUGGAUCUUUCUGCCUUCCUGGAAGAGGAGAUGAAGAUUGGCCUGCAGAGUGAUCAGUGAGCAAACGACCAGCUGUAUUAUGCCCAAUUUGAGGAAGAGAUCUAUGGCUUCAAAAGUUACCCAUGAAGUGACCCUUCAGCAGCCAAUCAUCCAGGUGAAAUAGAUGAGGUGUGUCCAGAAGGGCCACAUUGACAGGUUUCUUCUUGAGGAUCAGGUCUCCUAGUGAGGGCAGCAGAUGAAGGCUGCGUACCUCUGAGCAACGAAGAAUUGGACACCUCAGCCUGGUCUCAGGGAAAACCAAACUCCUGAGGUAACAAGCAUGCUGUUGGCACCGAGUCUGUGGUUUGCACAGAGCUAUUGUGAAUCUUGUCUGAUUCAAGGGAUAUGCAGUAGGAACCCAAGCAGGCUUCUUUGAUAACUAGGAAGCAGAGGAAGAGCUAUUCUUACCUCCUUGGUCUGCCGAUGGUCCCAACGAUCCCUCCAUACCUGAGGCUUUGCCAUCUUUCAGCUAACAAUGCCCUUGCUACCUUAGGAACCAGCAGCUUCAAAGCUACCAGACUGGAAUGCAGAACAUGCAGAUCUGGUUGAAGACUUCAAUAACCUCAGCUUUUUUGAGAUAGAUUCCCUACCUGGUGAACUCAGGGCAUGAUCUUUGGAAGACUUAUGAGACGUCUUCCUCUUAGAUGCCCUCGAGGAGCAUGGUUUAGAAAUAGUGGUGGCAGCAGACUUGCUUCGAGACUGGAGUACAGGAGGAGUCCCGUGGCCUGGGUCAGAAGAUGGAUGCAGCGAGCUCACUGUAAUGAGGAGAUGAAGUUUCAUCUCCCUUUUUUUUUCUGGCUCUAGAUUUCAAUGUCAGACAGAAGAUACACUUCUGGGAGUGAGCAAUUCUCCGAGACAAACAAUGCACUGGGAGUACCCAUCACUUACCAGGAUUGCCUCCUGGCACGACAGACAUUUCAAACUAAGAGAACCAGGCGUAACCUCCCAGUGAACAAGACUUAACUUAUCUAUAUAAUAUGAGAAUUUUUUUUAAACUAGGAAGCUAAAGCUACUACUGCUUACUAACUACCGGUAAUUACACUAAUACUAAGACCAACUAUAAAUGAAGCACUAGAAUAAAAACUGAGACACAGCUGAAGUAAUCUCAACAGGGACAACUGCCGGAGCUCCAUCGCAGGCUGAGGCAGUUGAGAAGCAACUGAGGGCGGUUUGCCUGUAGCAACUCACAGGACAUGACAAACUAGCAUCCAUGCACAGGCUGAAUGCACAUUGCUAUGAAAAGUCUCCAAUCAAUAGCACAGGGGAUGCAAGUGCACACAUAGAACACUAUUCAAAGAAGAAUAACCCAUUACUUAUAGAACAAAAGACUUAACUGUAUGAUGUAUACAAUUAUUUUUUA
Long non-coding RNA from Gopherus evgoodei (Goodes thornscrub tortoise), 1696 nucleotides. RefSeq lists it as uncharacterized. NCBI's taxonomy places the organism in Eukaryota, Metazoa, Chordata, Testudines, Testudinidae. The transcript has 5 exons. The record is from RefSeq and is a predicted model, not a curated record.